AACGAACGCUGGCGGCGUGCUUAACACAUGCAAGUCGAAACGCGAAAGGGAACUUCGGUCCUGAGUAAAGUGGCGGCACGGGUGAGUAACGCGUAGAUAACCUGUCUUCAUGCCUGGAAUAAUACGCCGAAAGGGGUACUAAUACCGGAUAUUCUUGCUUUUCAUAAGUUAUGCAAGCAAAGGUGGCCUCUGCAUAUGCUACUGCAUGAAGAGGGGUCUGCGUACCAUUAGCUAGUAGGUGGGGUAAUGGCCUACCUAGGCGACGAUGGUUAGCGGGUCUGAGAGGAUGAUCCGCCACACUGGCACUGGAACACGGGCCAGACUCCUACGGGAGGCAGCAGUGAGGAAUAUUGCGCAAUGGGGGAAACCCUGACGCAGCGACGCCGCGUGAGUGAAGGAAGGCCUUCGGGUCGUAAAGCUCUGUCUAGAGGAAAGAAGUGUACAAUGGCUAAUACCUGUUGUAUUUGACGGUACCUCUAAAGGAAGCACCGGCUAACUCCGUGCCAGCCGCAGC
RNAcentral lists this ribosomal RNA (514 nucleotides) under uncultured bacterium. RNAcentral's name for it is "bacterial SSU rRNA". It matches the Rfam family "Bacterial small subunit ribosomal RNA", at positions 29 to 518 of the family's 1533-position model. The record is from RNAcentral.